UUGAAGGCAUGGAGACUGAAUCCUCUCUGUGCAUAGAACAGGUGUGGCAGCCUCUCCAUUGUCCAACCAGCAUGCCUCAGUCCUAGCCAAAGGGGACAUGCUUAGAGUAACAGGUCUUUUCAGUCUCCAUGCCCUUCAAUCCUUGCUACU
This 150-nucleotide small RNA is filed under the name Nannospalax galili (Upper Galilee mountains blind mole rat). Its description in RNAcentral is "TUC338 (ENSNGAG00000007626.1)". Lineage: Eukaryota; Metazoa; Chordata; Mammalia; Rodentia; Spalacidae. The record is from RNAcentral.